This 94-nucleotide transfer RNA is filed under the name Stenotrophomonas maltophilia. RNAcentral describes it as "tRNA-Phe(gaa)". Lineage: Bacteria; Pseudomonadati; Pseudomonadota; Gammaproteobacteria; Lysobacterales; Lysobacteraceae. The record is from RNAcentral.
CAACCAGCUGGCCCGGCGGGAACAGGCUGUCGUUGAAGGCGUUGGCCAGAAACACCGCCGGCUGGUUGGCGUUGAUCUCGUCGAUGCUGGCCGC